GAUGAACGCUGGCGGCGUGCCUAAUACAUGCAAGUCGAGCGAACAGACGAGGAGCUUGCUCCUCUGACGUUAGCGGCGGACGGGUGAGUAACACGUGGAUAACCUACCUAUAAGACUGGGAUAACUUCGGGAAACCGGAGCUAAUACCAGAUAAUAUAUUGAACCGCAUGGUUCAAUAGUGAAAGACGGUUUUGCUGUCACUUAUAGAUGGAUCCGCGCCGCAUUAGCUAGUUGGUAAGGUAACGGCUUACCAAGGCGACGAUGCGUAGCCGACCUGAGAGGGUGAUCGGCCACACUGGAACUGAGACACGGUCCAGACUCCUACGGGAGGCAGCAGUAGGGAAUCUUCCGCAAUGGGCGAAAGCCUGACGGAGCAACGCCGCGUGAGUGAUGAAGGUCUUCGGAUCGUAAAACUCUGUUAUUAGGGAAGAACAAAUGUGUAAGUAACUAUGCACGUCUUGACGGUACCUAAUCAGAAAGCCACGGCUAACUACGU
RNAcentral lists this ribosomal RNA (496 nucleotides) under uncultured bacterium. RNAcentral's name for it is "partial 16S ribosomal RNA". It matches the Rfam family "Bacterial small subunit ribosomal RNA", at positions 28 to 506 of the family's 1533-position model. The record is from RNAcentral.